AGACUGUAAAUGUCUUGUUUUCGAGCAUCCACACCUCCCAGGUCUGUCCCCACCUCUCUGUCUAAUUGACGCCUGGCUGUUCCCUUGUAGAGCCAGUUUCAGUGCCGGGCCCCGGUCCCUCCCAAACCACAAGGGACUCUUUGUUUGUAAUUUAUGAAUUAGUGUGUGGUUUUGGUUACGAGAAGAGAGGGAGAGCGCAUGAGCGGCUAGAAACACAGUUGGCUACAGCAGAGUUUUGGAUUAAGCGGACAUUAACCGGCUGGUGUUUAUGAUUCCACAUCAGCAGCGACGAGUGCGUGUAAAAAUAAAGGCUAGUUUUCGUUUCCGAUUUCCGUUUUGUUUGUGACACUCCUUGUCUGAGGUACUCUGUGUAAACCUGUGCGUGGCCAUCAGAUAAGGGUUUCUGCUCGGCUAUGAAAACACAAAGACGGAGCCGCUGGUGCUCCCGGCCUUUAUCUUCAUGUACAUAGCUGCUGCCGAGCCACCACCAGUCACUCUCUUCCUUUUUCAUGAAGUGCUUUUAUUUACUUUGUCUUAGUCUGAGUGGAACCUGGCACUCCACUGAGCUCUGGCCUGAAUCUACGUACAAGGAAAUUCAGUUGUUUUCCAAGCCCCCUGACCCCCACCCACGCACCCCUCCAAUUCUUCUUUCCUGCUGUAGAUUUGAUUUUUAUUUUUCAGGCUGAUUUGGAAGUGCAGCAUGCGUUCCUAAUGGUUUCUCCCAGGGGGCUCCCGUCCUUCCUUCCUUUCUUCCUUCCUUCCUUCCUUCACUCUGUCCUUUCUCUCUUACCUUCCUGGAUAACUCAUCAUUAAUAGGUAUCAUUUUGUAGUAACAAAGUAAGGGGUGUCUCCUGAUGCCUAAAACAGAUGUGAUUCACCCCCCACCAAAGAACUUCCUGGCAUUCUUUAACCUCAGUGUGCAGCUGCUUGAAGGGGGAGUAGGAGGUUGUUCUCCCUCAUCUGAUUCUUUCUCCAAACCUUGGUAUUUGUCCUUUCUGGUCAUAUUGAAAUUAGAGUCUUUUUUUUUUGUAAACACGGAGCCUGUCGACUGAAGGAAAGCUACGGAAAAUGCAUUUGUUAAUUGAGUUCUGGUAGAAAUUGUUUAUUGAAAAGCCAGUGAAACAUAGUUGCUACCAUCUGUCAAUCUUUAAAAAAAAACAAAAAUUGCUUUUGAGCUUCAUGGUAGGUUUGUCCCUCCUGUGUUUAUAACAGACACAGACACCUGCACACUAAUAUCCCAUAAUAAUCAAUAAUGAACCAGAGAAACAGCAGCUCCAUGCUGUUGACCUACUGUGUGAUUUAUUGGUCACACCGAGUUCCUCCGUACUCUUCUUUAACCACAGGUACAUCAACAUAUUUUUUCCUUUAUUGUGGACUUUACAGAGCGGAGCUGCACUGCCAAAUGAUACACAUGGCCUCUCUUUUACAGUGUAUUCACAAGAACCCAGUAACUUUCUUUCCCUUUUGGGCCAGUUCUUUAAAUCUAGAUAGAAGUUUUAACAGAGCAGCCUCUCCUGGAGGAGCAGUGUUUUAUUGCUCCUAUCAUGGCCGUGUUAUUGCCUGGACUAGGGGCAGAUGGGGGGGUGGUUGGGAAGCCUCAUCUGUGGGCUGUUAUUUAUCUCCCCGUGCGAGUGUGGGGGUAAGUCAUAGAGGAUCCUGGUGGAUUUAAAAGGUCAUCGAAAUGUGAAAAAGGAUGGGGAGGUGUGCGUGGUUAAAAUGUGGGGAGGAUUUACAGAACUUAACACCUGAGGAUCUGAAAUGUCGACUGAACGACCUGUGAAGAGACACGGUGGUGUUGGUGAUGCAGCAGUGGAAGGGUUUUAGUGAAGUCGAGCAGAAAAGUACAGCAGAUAUUAUAGGCUUUAUUCAAGCCUUUUAGUCAAACUCUCACAGCCAGCGUUCAACUCUUUAGAGUAAGUGAUUAUUCUGAGAUUGUGUGUGUGUGUGCAUGUGUGUGUGUGUGU
Long non-coding RNA from Cynoglossus semilaevis (tongue sole), 1964 nucleotides. RefSeq lists it as uncharacterized. NCBI's taxonomy places the organism in Eukaryota, Metazoa, Chordata, Actinopteri, Pleuronectiformes, Cynoglossidae. The record is from RefSeq and is a predicted model, not a curated record. The transcript is spliced from 3 exons.